Molecule: ribosomal RNA, 288 nt
Filed under: uncultured bacterium
Lineage: Bacteria
Description: partial 16S ribosomal RNA
Rfam family: Bacterial small subunit ribosomal RNA
Source: RNAcentral
GUUUGAUCCUGGCUCAGAACGACCGCUGGCGUGCGUGCUUAACACAUGCAAGUCGAACGCGAAAGAGUUCUUCGGAACUUGAGAUAGAGUGGCGCACGGGUGAGUAACGCGUAAGUAACCUACCCUCGACAUUUGGGAUAACCCACCGAAAGGUAGUGCUAAUACCGGAUACGUACUCAUUUAAUAUCUAUUUAAUGAGAGAAAGGUGGCCUACUGAUGGAAGCUACUUGUGCGGGGAGAGGGCUUGCAGUACCAUUAGCUAAGUUGGUAGUGGUAAGGGCCUACCAA